GUUAUACUCCCUCCGUCCGAAAAUACUUGUCAUCAAAAUAAAUAAAAAGGGAUGUAUCUAGAACUAAAAUACAUCUAGAUACGUUCUUUUUUAUUCAUUUUGAUGACAAAUAUUCCCGGACGGAGGGAGUAGUUU
Molecule: non-coding RNA, 135 nt
Organism: Triticum aestivum (bread wheat)
Lineage: Eukaryota; Viridiplantae; Streptophyta; Magnoliopsida; Poales; Poaceae
Source: Rfam